CAAACACUUCUCUGAGAUAGAUUAUAUGCUUGAAAGUCGCAAUUUCAAGCAUUUUGCAUUUACCAAUUGCAUCAAAAUGGAUCAAAAGACUCACAGAAGCAUUCUUGCAGGCACAGAGCAGAGAAUUCAAGUUGUGGCUACGGCAUCAGAUCAACUAUAUAAUGAUGAAAGGGUCUCUCUCUCUCUCUGUCUCUCUCUCUCU
RNAcentral lists this unclassified non-coding RNA (202 nucleotides) under Hevea brasiliensis (rubber tree). Lineage: Eukaryota; Viridiplantae; Streptophyta; Magnoliopsida; Malpighiales; Euphorbiaceae. The record is from RNAcentral.